RNAcentral lists this ribosomal RNA (303 nucleotides) under uncultured bacterium. Its description in RNAcentral is "partial 16S ribosomal RNA". It matches the Rfam family "Bacterial small subunit ribosomal RNA", at positions 507 to 807 of the family's 1533-position model. The record is from RNAcentral.
AGCAGUCGCCACGGUAAAACGAAGGGUGCAAGCGUUAAUCGGAAUUACUGGGCGUAAAGCGCACGCAGGCGGUCUGUCAAGUCAGAUGUGAAAUCCCCGGGCUUAACCUGGGAACUGCAUUUGAAACUGGCAGGCUAGAGUCUUGUAGAGGGGGGUAGAAUUCCAGGUGUAGCGGUGAAAUGCGUAGAGAUCUGGAGGAAUACCGGUGGCGAAGGCGGCCCCCUGGACAAAGACUGACGCUCAGGUGCGAAAGCGUGGGGAGCAAACAGGAUUAGAUACCCCUGUAGUCCCUGUCUCUUAUAC